RNAcentral lists this ribosomal RNA (460 nucleotides) under uncultured bacterium. Its description in RNAcentral is "partial 16S ribosomal RNA". It matches the Rfam family "Bacterial small subunit ribosomal RNA", at positions 338 to 795 of the family's 1533-position model. The record is from RNAcentral.
CCUACGGGGGGCUGCAGUGAGGAAUAUUGGUCAAUGGGCGUACGCCUGAACCAGCCAAGUCGCGUGAGGGAAGACUGCCCUAUGGGUUGUAAACCUCUUUUGUCAGGGAGCAAUGGGCGCUACGUGUAGCGUUAUCGAGAGUACCUGAAGAAAAAGCAUCGGCUAACCCCGGCCCAGCAGCCGCGGUAAUACGGGGGAUGCGAGCGUUAUCCGGAUUUAUUGGGUUUAAAGGGUGCGUAAGCGGAAUGCCAAGUCAGCGGUAAAAUCGCGGGGCCCAACCUCGGUCCGCCGUUGAAACUGGCGUCCUUGAGUGGGCGAGAAGUAGGCGGAAUGCGUGGUGUAGCGGUGAAAUGCAUAGAUAUCACGCAGAACUCCGAUUGCGAAGGCAGCAUACCGGCGCCCAACUGACGCUGAAGCACGAAAGCGUGGGUAUCGAACAGGAUUAGAUACCCUUGUAGUC